Sarcophilus harrisii (Tasmanian devil) is the source of this 1799-nucleotide long non-coding RNA. RefSeq lists it as uncharacterized. The record is from RefSeq and is a predicted model, not a curated record. Lineage: Eukaryota; Metazoa; Chordata; Mammalia; Dasyuromorphia; Dasyuridae. The transcript is spliced from 4 exons.
GGGAGAGAGGGAAGGGUGUGGAGAGACGCCGCAGCUUGGGUGGGGGGUGUUGGCUUUAGGGUCUCCCCACACCACUCCACCCCCAGCCUCCUCUGCUUCGGCCAAGCUGAGCUCUUCCGUAGUCCAGUCUCGCAAAUCCUAGGGUUGCCGACAAUUUUGUUUGCAGAAAUCGCCACCGUCAGUACCUUUUUAGGCCACUCAGGUCCAAAGUUGCUUUUGCUUCUCGGCCUGCAGCUCCGCGACCCUCCCCCGCCAUCAUUUUCAUUUCCCAAGAAGUUUCUUUUCACGUUGGGCUAAGUAGCAUGAUAAUUCUGCUGGGAGCUAAACCUUCCCCCUUAACGCUUCCCCCCACCCACCGUUCUUCCGUUGCCUCAGAAUAUAGAGAUUUGACAAUAAACGCGAUUGUUGUUAACGUCCAUACUAUGACUUCCCUCCAUCUCCAGUAAAAGCAAAAGUAGCAUUAAAGGAAAACCUAGAGACCUUUGGACCUUUGGAGUGAGUGAAUGUGUUCUUCUGUUGUUCAGAAAAAAAUAUUACUUAGAUCACUCCAAGGAAACUGGAUCCAAAAACAAAAGAUGGGAAUAAUUAUGGUUGAAGAAUCUCAGAAAAGACAGGACAUCAGAAGAGCCAUCAGAAGUCACCUAGCAACCAGAACUGGUAGCAAAGACAAUUGGAUCCAAUAGUAGCAGCAAUUAAGCCCAGUGAGAGGAUCCAGAAAAACAGAUGAGCAAAUAUCAACUGAAUGAUCCAUCCCAACUUGAUUUAUCCAUCAGCUGAGAUGCCUUGCUUCCCAAGGAACCAACCCAACUAAACAAGGAUUGUUUCAAGGGAAGUCUUUUGCUGUGUAAACCUUGAAGUACCAUAGAAAUGAGAGUGACAUUAUCUCUUAGGUUGUGCUUGACUCCUUUCUAUUGCAUUAAAAAAGAGUCAUCUUGUUUUGACCUCAGAGGAAGAAGACCACUGGCAAGACAUUUUUGAUCAGGAAAAGAAGCUGAUCAUUUCACUCUCUCCCUUCUUCUGACUCCCUAGGUUCUUUUCCUUCCAAAGCUCUCUCAUACUCUACUGUUUGUCAGAUGUGUUCACUCCAAUGAGCAAUGCUUGUGUAUAUAGUGUCUUUCUGUCUUGUAUAUUUUAGCUAGGAGCCUCCAGGCUUCUUGUAAAGUCCUGACAAGGGAAAUCCCAUAAUGAAGGAUUUCACGGAGCUCUACAGACUGAAGGGGGUUUUUCUUCCCAUCUGUCAUUUUACUUUAAGCCUUGACCUCUCUGUUCCCAUGUAAGGCAGUGCUGGAGAAGAGGUCUGAACGCGGUAACCAAAUGGUUGGUCUUGGCCCCCUUGAAUUCUCUGCUGUGUGAACUGGAGCAAUUUGCCAGAGGUCCUCAUGAUACUGAAAUAGGAGAGGAAAAGGAAGCAUAAAAACUGUCCUUCUCAGGGUCUGUUUCAAAAAGGACAUACCUAAGGUUAAAAGAUGAUAAAUGCUAACACUGGAAAGGACCUUAGAGUUCCGUUAGUCCACACCCCAUUUUUGGAAAUAAGAAAAUUGAAGCUCAGAGCAGAAAUGGACUUUUUCAAGGUCACAAAUCCAGUCGUAUGUUUGGGAAGCAGCACUGAUUAAAGAUCAGGGAAUUUUGAAGCUUCCCUUUUGUGGAUCCCUUCUAGCAUUGAGAGGCUCUGUUUUUAUGCUCAUUUCUGUUUAUUGUUUUGUUCUGAUUCAAUGAUAGAAUGCUGGGCCCAAAGUCAAGAAGACUUAUCUUUUCUCAGACACGUACUAACUGUGUGACUUUGGGCAAGUCACCAAACC